AUUGAACGCUGGCGGCAGGCCUAACACAUGCAAGUCGAACGGUAACAGGAAGAAGCUUGCUUCUUUGCUGACGAGUGGCGGACGGGUGAGUAAUGUCUGGGAAACUGCCUGAUGGAGGGGGAUAACUACUGGAAACGGUAGCUAAUACCGCAUAACGUCGCAAGACCAAAAAGGGGGACCUUCGGGCCUCUUGCCAUCGGAUGUGCCCCGAUGGGAUUAGCUAGUAGGUGGGGUAACGGCUCACCUAGGCGACGAUCCCUAGCUGGUCUGAGAGGAUGACCAGCCACACUGGAACUGAGACACGGUCCAGACUCCUACGGGAGGCAGCAGUGGGGAAUAUUGCACAAAGGGCGCAAGCCUGAUGCAGCCAUGCCGCGUGUAUGAAGAAGGCCUUCGGGUUGUAAAGUACUUUCAGCGGGGAGGAAGGGAGUAAAGUUAAUACCUUUGCUCAUUGACGUUACCCGCAGAAGAAGCACCGGCUAACUCCGUG
Molecule: ribosomal RNA, 490 nt
Filed under: uncultured bacterium
Lineage: Bacteria
Description: partial 16S ribosomal RNA
Rfam family: Bacterial small subunit ribosomal RNA
Source: RNAcentral